GAUACCGCCCUAGUUCUAACCAUAAACGAUGCCAACCAGCGAUCCGCCUGGGUUCCUCAAAUGACUCGGCGGGCAGCUUCCGGGAAACCAAAGUGUUUGGGUUCCGGGGGAAGUAUGGUUGCAAAGCUGAAACUUAAAGGAAUUGACGGAAGGGCACCACCAGGAGUGGAGCCUGCGGCUUAAUUUGACUCAACACGGGAAAACUUACCCGGCCCGGACACUGGAAGGAUUGACAGAUUGAGAGCUCUUUCUUGAUUCAGUGGGUGGUGGUGCAUGGCCGUUCUUAGUUGGUGGAGCGAUUUGUCUGGUUAAUUCCGAUAACGAACGAGACUCUAGCCUACUAAAUAGGCGAUCCCGAUCAACCACGUCGGGCGCUCUUCUUAGAGGGACAAGCGGCGUUUAGCCGCACGAGACAGAGCAAUAACAGGUCUGUGAUGCCCUUAGAUGUCCGGGGCCGCACGCGCGCUACACUGAAGGAAUCAGCGUGUGCUUUCCCUGUCCGGCAGGACUGGGUAACCCGUUCAACCUCCUUCGUGAUAGGGAUAGGGGCUUGUAAUUGUUCCCCUUGAACGAGGAAUUCCCAGUAAGCGCGAGUCAUAAGCUCGUGUUGAUUACGUCCCUGCCCUUUGUACACACCGCCCGUCGCUACUACCGAU
RNAcentral lists this ribosomal RNA (656 nucleotides) under Scytodes sp. 58 YFL-2022a. RNAcentral's name for it is "SSU rRNA". It matches the Rfam family "Eukaryotic small subunit ribosomal RNA", at positions 1011 to 1689 of the family's 1831-position model. Lineage: Eukaryota; Metazoa; Arthropoda; Arachnida; Araneae; Scytodidae. The record is from RNAcentral.